GGGCCUUUCCCGUCAAGGUUCAGGGACUCACCGAUGAUAGCAACGCCCAAGGCUACAAAAGAAGGGGUAUUUAAGUGUUUAAAUUUCUGCUCCCUACCCACCUUCAUCCCGUCGGGAGAAGCGGAGCUGACAGAUGAUUUGAGGUCACAUUCCGCUGUUUAUUCAGCAUAGAUCGCUCAAAUUCUACAGCGAUGCACUGGGAUCCCCAUGCUGAAUGGCCCUGCAUUCUUCCGAGCUACCCCUCUGCAGUGUUCUGGGAAACACGCCACAGCUUCACACGGUCCACAGUCCUUCAAGACUUGGAUGGAAAAAGGCCUGAGCCAUGCACUGUAAGGAAAAAGUAAAAGAUGGAUGGAUCAUCUUCCAUGUAAAGAGUCUGCACAAAGGCAAAUCAUGAUUGAUUCGCACACCCCCCCGCAAAAGAAAGAAUCAAUAAUUCCAUUGAGACGCACGCUAUAAGGAAGAGGAAAGCACUGGAAACCUACCUUUGCAGAAUCAGAAACGUUAUCCCAGUAUGGAGAAGGGAAGUCCACUUGCCCCAUCAAAAUCUGAUCAAAAAGCACCUCCUGGUCAUCACCGCUUCUGUUUAGAUGAAGGACAACAACGAGGAAUAAACAGCAGGAAAAUGCCAACUCAGGGUGUAUCUUUUCAUUCUUAUGCAUUGAAGCCCUUCCUUUCCCCACAAAUGUGUAAAAUGUGUGUUUUUAAGCAAUUCAAAAUGUCAGUAUGGAGCUGUUUUGGCAAAUUAAGAAAGAAUGAGUUUUUAAAUUAUAUGAGGAAGAUUUAUGGAAGGCAUGUAAAUCAGCGUGCACAACAUGGAAAAAAUAACAAGUUCUUAUGCUCUUUUCCAGCUGUAGGCUCCUUUGUGCGGGGAGGCCGAAUGGAUCAUUCAGAGAAGGGAGAAAUGCUUUGUUGGUGCUGAAUAAAAGAUCGCUGCCCAUACCCACGGAAUGGAGGGAAACCACAGAGCAGGAUGUAAGUGAUUACACCAGCUGCCCAGAUGUCCACCUUGAGGCCAUAUCUGAAAAAGAUGAAUAUUCCUGCCUGUUUUAAAGAACAGAAACCCGAGGUUCAGAGGGUAAAUAAUUUUGCUCAAGAUCUCACAAUUAGUGGCACAGCUGAGUUCCAGCCAAGGUUUUCAAGAGCUGAACCAAAUCCUCCUUCGACCCCACACCACCCCUUCGCAGCAGGCCAUCAGAGCACCCAACAGAGAUAACGGCAUUGCCUCGAGGGAGGUCAGGCAUGGCUAUAGAUUGUGGGCUCGCAAUUGACUCAAAUCUGAUGAAUAAAAAAGUGCUCAUUACCUCACACCUCACUCUGGGGAUUUCUCCUCUCAUCUGUUCUGUAUUUAUGCCUUUCUGGUCUAUGGUACAAGCAGAAAAACUAUCUCCACCUGUCACAGUGGAAGAUACUACCUAGAUUGUGAGGUUUGGGUUGGUGCCACUAAUGGGAAGAAAUAGUCAGGCUGUCCUUGCUGUGGCCCAACCUUCUGUUUAAGGACAGUGCUUCAGAACCCUGCUGCUGAUCCUUGGCAAGAAAUGGGGCUCUUCACUGAAAGAGCCUUUUACUCACCUAGACCUGAGUUCAAAUGCUGACUCAGCUACUAUCUAGUCAUGAGCUUCUAAGUCAAUCAUCAGAGACUGAGUUUAUUCAGAUGCAAAAUGGGAAUCAUAUCAUCUACUGGAAGAGUAAGAAUUAAGUAAAGGAGCCUGGCAUAUAGUAGUAGGUCCUUAGUUAAGCAUUAGGCCACCCCACAAUCUCCCCCCAUUCUAGAGAUUUUCAUUCAUCUGUGUCCGCUGCACUCAGAAACCAGCCAGUUCCCAGGGGCCCUCAGAUGUCUGAGGGUAUCUGCACUCCACAGAUAAUCAGUGGGCUGCCAAGAGGACCAAAAUGGGACCGGAACUGGAGAAUAAGGACAGCUGAGAGAAGUAACCACAGUAGACUGGACUCACUGCACACAGCGAUGUCUGUUUCUUUUUGCUCCAAUAGCUAGUUAAUUACCAUCAUAGUUAAUUACUAUGUUUCUCUGUUAGUCCAAACAUUUUUUACUAAGGGGUUAAUAACUGCCAUUCUACCUUUAACAAAGGCCAAAAGGAAGCCUUAAACAAGAUGGUAGUAACUGGCAACUUGAUGGGAAAAACAGAGAAAAUGGCUCCCACUUUCAAGUCAAAAAAAAAAAAAGUGAAAAAUAUAUGAUAACUAGUUCUGUCUGGAUGGGACAGAACACUCCUAUUUCUUCUAUCCUUGAAGCCAACUAGCUAUUUUGCAAGCACAGUACUGCAGUAAAUGCACAAGAAGUGUUUACC
Molecule: long non-coding RNA, 2306 nt
Organism: Aethalodelphis obliquidens (Pacific white-sided dolphin)
Lineage: Eukaryota; Metazoa; Chordata; Mammalia; Artiodactyla; Delphinidae
Exons: 5
Source: RefSeq, a predicted model, not a curated record